CUGGAGUGCUCUGGCUGCUUGGGUUCCUGGCAUGCUGAUUUGUGACUUAAGAUUAAAAUCACAUUGCCAGGGAUUACCACGCAACCACGACCCUGACUGCUGCUCCA
Molecule: microRNA precursor, 107 nt
Filed under: Cervus elaphus hippelaphus
Lineage: Eukaryota; Metazoa; Chordata; Mammalia; Artiodactyla; Cervidae
Rfam family: mir-23 microRNA precursor family (bases 13-86)
Source: RNAcentral